Molecule: RNA transcript, 2222 nt
Organism: Macadamia integrifolia
Lineage: Eukaryota; Viridiplantae; Streptophyta; Magnoliopsida; Proteales; Proteaceae
Gene name: serine/threonine protein phosphatase 2A 55 kDa regulatory subunit B beta isoform-like
Exons: 14
Source: RefSeq, a predicted model, not a curated record
AGUGAAGAUCACCUCUGCUCAGUUUCUGGGUGAGGAGUGAGAACGAAGUUGAACAUUGGAGCUUCCCAAAAGCUCGGUACUCCUCGUUAGAUAUCGAGCGAGAUCCCCGACGAAUACGAAACACUUCCUCAUCGGCCGGAGCUUUGGAACAUUCAAAAAAUUGUUCAUAGCCGCUUCACUUCAAUCUGAAUAAUCAAUAGAGUAGGGAAGAGGUAUCAUGAGAUCGAGCGACGUGUAGUAGCGCUGCAAGCGGACAUGAGUGGAGGUUCUCCCACUACGUUGGAGUGGAAAUUUUCUCAGGUCUUCGGAGAACGGGAACCGGGGGAGGAUGCUCAAGAUGUUGAUAUCAUAUCUGCGAUGGACUUUGACAAGAGCGGGAACUACCUUGCUGCUGGAGAUCGAGGUGGCCGUGUUGUGAUUUUUGAGAGGACGGAUGUGGACGAUUUAAGGUCUCGGAAAGAGUUGGAGCACUUGGAUUAUGGUCCCAAGGUUCGUCCUGAAUAUCGUUACAAGACUGAAUUCCAGAGUCAUGAACCAGAGUUUGAUUUUCUGAAGAGUGUGGAAAUUGAAGAGAAAGUUAACAGAGUAAGGUGGUCUGUGACACUAAAUGGUUCACUAUUUGUUCUCUCAUCGAAUGAUAAGACAAUUAAGCUAUGGAAGCUUAAGGAACGGAAAGUAAAGAAAGUCAAAGAGAUAGACCUGAAUCCAUUUGUGUGUUCAGAAAAUGCACUUCUUGCUGAGAAGAGUUUCCAGACUGGGCAGCAGAUACCAUCUGUUCCUAAUGGCAACCUUCUGGAGUGGACAAGUGACACACCAAACCACACAUUCCCAUCGUCUCAAGGAGGGGUUACCAAGAUAUCUAGCACUGGAGAUGCUGCUCUUGCAAGAUGCCGGAGGGUUUAUGCUCAUGCUCAUGAUUAUAACAUUAAUUCUAUCUCAAACAAUAGUGAUUGUGAGACAUUUGUUUCUGCGGAUGACCUUAGGAUAAAUUUGUGGAACCUAGAGAUUAGUGAUCAGUGUUUCAACAUCAUUGACAUGAAACCAGCCAACAUGGAGAACCUCAUUGAGGUUAUAACAUCAGCUGAGUUCCAUCCAGUUUACUGUAAUCUCCUUGCAUAUAGUAGCUCAAGGGGUUUUAUACGGCUGGUUGACAUGCGGCAGUCAGCAUUGUGCGAUCAACAUGCUAGGAUAUUUCAAGAUCGUGAACCCCAUGGAUCUAAAUCAUUUUUUACCGAGCUAAUCACAUCUAUCUCUGAUAUAAAGUUUGCGAGCGAUGGAAGGCACAUCUUAAGUCGUGAUUAUAUGAAUCUAAAGCUGUGGGACUUGCACAUGGAGGCUUCUCCAGUAGCAACUUUUAAGAUUCAUGAGUACCUUCGACCUAAGUUGUCUGACUUAUAUAAUAAUGAUUCAAUUUUUGACAAAUUUGACUGCUGCCUCAGUGGGGAUGGGCUUCAUGUUGCUACUGGAACUUAUAGCAAUCUUUUUCGGGUUUUCUCUCGGGAUGGAAAUGAAGAAGGAACCACACUAGAAGCUAGCAAAAAUCCUUACCGGUCCAUUGGCUAAACAGAAAAACAUCUUUCUUAUUUAUCGAGGAAUAGAAACAAACCUUUGACAAACCUGUACUGGUCUGUGAUAAUGUAUUUCUCAACACUCUGAUAUCUUUACUUUCAGCUGGUUGGGCCUGCAGUGAGAAUUGCUACCUACUGUGUCAAGGAUCUGUGCUUAUUAUGUUUUACACCAAAUGCUUCUUCAAUCUUCAUUUAGAAGGUUCCUUGAAGUGAUUAUAAUAAAAGUCUUUAUAAAUUACACUUAAACACACUAGUCUUUAAUUCUUUAUAAACUUUUUACACAUGCUCAUUAAUCUCAACUGUAGAAAAGAUAGGUGUUGCCUCAUUUAUGAGAUCCAGUGGACAUUGUACUUGUUCAAUUUCUGUGCUCCUAAGUAACCUAGCUGAAGCAGUGGUGCUGUCACAGUAAAAUGUUUAGAGAUUGGGGUUGAUAUGGGUUUUGGAAGACUCUAAAUGUAGAAAUGCAUGUGUCUCCUUAUUUAUCUCCUACUUCAUUACUAACCAGGAAGCAACAUCACCAAGCUACUUCCAGAGCUAGACGCACAUCGCUGAGCAACCUCACCCGUGGGCAUUUCCGACAAGGACAUUCAAGCUCCGAAAGUAAUGGGGUUCCUUGUGACUUAGCUUCCAAGCUGCUGCAUCUGGCAUGGCAUC